RNA transcript from Haplochromis burtoni (Burton's mouthbrooder), 866 nucleotides. It is a transcript of the gene named coiled-coil-helix-coiled-coil-helix domain-containing protein 5, with no coding region annotated. The record is from RefSeq and is a predicted model, not a curated record. Lineage: Eukaryota; Metazoa; Chordata; Actinopteri; Cichliformes; Cichlidae. The transcript has 5 exons.
UAGACUUUAUUUGCAUGUUAAUCGAGCAAGUGGCUUUCCCCUUUAAGGAAAGUGACGUCACUGUAGGGGCGUAGCCAGAGUGUGUGACUGAUGCAAUCCUGAACCAAUAAGAUUAUAGAAACAUUGGCGUUCCUGUCCAGGCAUGGUUCCACAUGCAGAAGUAGUGGUGGUGUAACCUUGGCUGAUUAGCGUCCUCGUUUCAAACACCAUAAAAGAAGCAACAUGCAGGCUGCUAUGGAUAUAACUGCAAAGUACUGCCGUAAAGAAAUGGAAGCGUAUGGGUUAUGUGUAGCCUCCAAUCCAUCAACAUGGCAGCAGAAGUGUCACGAGCUGAAGAUGAAUGUUGCACAAUGUACAUCAUCACACCCAGUCAUCCAGAAGAUCAGGCAGGAGUGUUCCAAUGAGUUUGUGGAGUUUGAGCGCUGCCUGAGAGAACAUCAGGGACAACCUGUCUCCUGCUCGCCACAUGUGGCUCGCUUUCUGGGCUGUGCAGAGACAGUCGACCUCAGUGGAGUGGCUACAAAUCCAGUAUCUCAACCAUCUUAGCACAGGAUGUCCUCCAUUACCAGAAAAAACCUGUAUCUACACCACUGCCACCAGGUUCUUGGGUAAUGGAGUCAGACAAAUUUGAUGUGCACUUGAUGACGCUUCCAUCAGUCAAGUCGUUCAGGUGUUGAAGCAGCAAAGCAGCCCCAAAACAUCACACUACCACCACCAUGGAUGACUGUUGGUAGGAUGUUCUUCUUCUGAAAUAGUGUGUUGAUUUUAUGAUGUUAGGAAUUACUUUUUCAUGUUUCUUUUUCAUGAGUUUGGAUAGCUUUUCCCCCCUUAAAUAAUUUAAAUAAUUUACAAAGUGUAUUUUAUUA